Molecule: ribosomal RNA, 468 nt
Filed under: uncultured bacterium
Lineage: Bacteria
Description: partial 16S ribosomal RNA
Rfam family: Bacterial small subunit ribosomal RNA
Source: RNAcentral
GACGAACGCUGGCGGCGUGCUUAAUACAUGCAAGUCGAACGGAAAGGCCCUGCUUUUGCGGGGUGCUCGAGUGGCGAACGGGUGAGUAACACGUGAGUAACCUGCCCUUGACUUUGGGAUAACUUCAGGAAACUGGGGCUAAUACCGGAUAGGAGCUCCUGCUGCAUGGUGGGGGUUGGAAAGUUUCGGCGGUUGGGGAUGGACUCGCGGCUUAUCAGCUUGUUGGUGGGGUAGUGGCUUACCAAGGCUUUGACGGGUAGCCGGCCUGAGAGGGUGACCGGCCACAUUGGGACUGAGAGACGGCCCAGACUCCUACGGGAGGCAGCAGUGGGAAGUAUUGCACAAUAAGCGGAAGCCUGAUGCAGCAACGCCGCGUGCGGGAUGACGGCCUUCGGGUUAUAAACCGCUUUCGCCUGUAACGAAGCGUGAGUGACGGUAAUGGAUAAAGAAGCACCGGCUAACUACGUG